This 202-nucleotide long non-coding RNA is filed under the name Nicotiana benthamiana. RNAcentral describes it as "long non-coding RNA (NBEN_LNC011645)". Lineage: Eukaryota; Viridiplantae; Streptophyta; Magnoliopsida; Solanales; Solanaceae. The record is from RNAcentral.
UUUUUGGUUAUAUCCGAAGCUUAUGAGUACACAUGUAGUGUGGCCUCUAACAGAAGAUAAGUUCUGUUUUAUUUUUCUCGAUACUGAACUAGUGGUGAAUUAUGGCGAUUGUUUCAUUAGCUACAUCAUAUUGCCUCUAAAAUAUUAUUUUUUAUGGCAAUUCAUUAUUUCUAAGACGAGGAGAAUAAGAGAUAUUUAGUGN